AUUGAAAACUGGUAUGAAUGGUUUUACAGUAUAGAUCUUUUUUUAUUUAAAAAUUUAAUUUAUAUUUUUAGUAAGAAUACUAAAAUGAAAAAAAGGGACGAUAAGACCCUGAAAGCUUUAAGUUAAAAUUAUAUAUAGUUUCAUCAAGUAUUAUAAUACAACUAUUAGCUGGGGAAGUUUUUAUACUAAAACUAUAAUUUGCUUAUACUUUGUUAUAAUGGUCCUUUAAAUAAGGACAACUAGAAAAAGUUACUUCAGGGAUAACAGCAUAAUAAUUUUGUAGAGUUCUUAUUGAUAAAAUUGACUGUGACCUCGAUGUUGAAUUAAAAUUUCUCUUUAAGGCAAAAUGUAAAGUAGAGGGU
RNAcentral lists this ribosomal RNA (362 nucleotides) under Crangonyx manubrium. RNAcentral's name for it is "partial large subunit ribosomal RNA". Lineage: Eukaryota; Metazoa; Arthropoda; Malacostraca; Amphipoda; Crangonyctidae. The record is from RNAcentral.